CAGCACCUUGAUGAGGCAGAAGAUCAGGCCAAAGAACAUGAGAAUUUUCAGGACUGUGCAACAGAUGAGAUAAGGAAGAAAUAGUCUAGGUCAAUGAAGUGGCAGACGUGGGCUCCUGGCUGCCAAGAACAGGAAUAUUUGCCACCUCACCUUGCUUGAUAUGUAGUGGAGCUUUUCAUCAUCAAAAAGUGGAUGUCAAAGCACGUAAUAAAGAUAUCCACCAUGGAACGUAUUUGCAGAAUUAACACAGAACUCCUCUGAACUCCACAGAUGAUGACCUGGCUUCAGUUUGAGGUGUAUUUUGCCACUGCUAACCUCCAUUAAUGCAGAGAUGAACGAGAAGUGACUUGAUCCUUGGCACUAAGAGCCAUCACUAGAGGAGAAAUAUUAAAGACUCUUCAGUUUAACCAACUGGAAAUUUAAACCAGACAAGUUAAAGUGGGAAAUGCACAGCAUUAUCACAGUGGUUCAUUAACCAAUGGAACAAACCAGCAGCAGAAAUGGAAUAAUCUCCAUUUCUGUCUUCACAUCA
Molecule: long non-coding RNA, 532 nt
Organism: Rhea pennata
Lineage: Eukaryota; Metazoa; Chordata; Aves; Rheiformes; Rheidae
Exons: 4
Source: RefSeq, a predicted model, not a curated record